GACACAAGGAAAAUGAACAAUAACAAAAAAUAAAACAACAACAGCCGCAAAAUACAACUGCGCUGGACCGUGGUGAAGGUGUUGUUUACAUGCAACUACAUAGUAGGCAGCACUGCAGCUAAACAAUAGCAGCUCAGGGCAGCAAAGCUCUGAAAUUGAGUUAAACAAGGCGGCGGGCGAGUAGAAACCCAAACUAGCAGUGUACUCGAGUAAUCGGGCAUGGGGGUGCUAAAAUGAUAUUGCACAAGCCCAACCGCUUCCCUCGCCCGCCCAAUUGGCCACCAAGCCCCAGCUCUCACUGCCGCAGUAGAAAAUGAAAUCGAAACCACAGGCAACAACAGACAACCACAGCGCCACCUGCUGGUGUUGUAUCCGAACCUACUAACUACUAGCUCACUACUUGUGGGCUACGAACACGGACUGGGAACAUGGAGUUGGACAAGACUGGCUGGUCAUAUAAAAGGGCGAUUCAAUGGCAAGAUAUUUGAAUUUUAAAUAUGAAAUGAACGAAAUAAAGACAUUUACAUUGCUUCAUUGCUAAAAUGACACAGCAAAGGCAAUAGU
Non-coding RNA from Drosophila melanogaster (fruit fly), 564 nucleotides. NCBI's taxonomy places the organism in Eukaryota, Metazoa, Arthropoda, Insecta, Diptera, Drosophilidae. The record is from Ensembl.